GACACCAAGCCUCUGUAAAGCUCCUUCGACGAGUCGAGUAGUUUGGGAAUGCUGCUCUAAAUGGGAGGUAAAUUUCUUCUAAAGCUAAAUACUGGCCAGAGACCGAUAGCGCACAAGUAGAGUGAUCGAAAGAUGAAAAGUACUUUGAAAAGAGGGUUAAAUAGCACGUGAAAUUGUUGAAAGGGAAGCGUUUAUGACCAGACCUUCGCCGGGCGGAUCAUCCGGUGUUCUUCACCGGUGCACUUCGCCCGGCUUAGGCCAGCAUCGGUUUUUGCAGGGGGAUAAAGGCCCGGGGAAUGUGGCUCCCUCCGGGGAGUGUUAUAGCCCUGGGCGUAAUACCCUUGCGGGGACCGAGGUUCGCGCUCCGGCAAGGAUGCUGGCGUAAUGGUCAUCAACGACCCGUCUUGAAACACGGACCAAGGAGUCGAACAUUUAUGCGAGUGUUUGGGUGUUAAACCCUUGCGCGUAAUGAAAGUGAACGUAGGUGAGAGCCCGUAAGGGUGCAUCAUCGACCGAUCUUGAUGUUUUCGGAUGGAUUUGAGUAAGAGCAUAACUGUUCGGACCCGAAAGAUGGUGAACUAUGCGUGGAUAGGGUGAAGCCAGAGGAAACUCUGGUGGAGGCUCGCAGCGGUUCUGACGUGCAAAUCGAUCGUCAAAUCU
Molecule: ribosomal RNA, 660 nt
Filed under: Peroneutypa diminutiasca
Lineage: Eukaryota; Fungi; Ascomycota; Sordariomycetes; Xylariales; Diatrypaceae
Description: eukaryotic LSU rRNA
Rfam family: Eukaryotic large subunit ribosomal RNA
Source: RNAcentral